Molecule: RNA transcript, 2309 nt
Organism: Medicago truncatula (barrel medic)
Lineage: Eukaryota; Viridiplantae; Streptophyta; Magnoliopsida; Fabales; Fabaceae
Gene name: GDSL esterase/lipase At3g27950
Exons: 5
Source: RefSeq, a predicted model, not a curated record
UCAGCUGAACCAGCAAGUUGCUUGAGCUCCAGUGGCAAGAAGUUUCUUUCAAAAACAUACCUGGAAUACCGGAUUCGAAUCUAAGGGGGAACAACACUUGACCAGUGCACAUACCUCUACGCAUGAGCCAAAUUAGUCAUCCACCUUUGGUGGGUCGGAAACCUGCGGAAAAAAAAUAAAAAAUUCAGCUGCCACUAAAUUUCAUUUAUAGAUGUUUCAGACACACUAAAUUUCCCUCAUUCACACUAAAUUCAAACACGUUUCAGGCACAUACAUAACUCAAAUUUUGAAGAUCCGAUGCUUGUUGAGGAGGAUGAUGAUUUCAACAUUAUCUUUUGUUUGGUCAUUCAUCAGCCAUAUAUAUUUACGUUGACCGUGAUUUCCUUGAUUAAUCGGACUCUUGAAUAUGGAGAGGGACAGAACCAAGGACUAAAGAUUUCUCUAAGGCCAUUUACACAAUUGAUAUUGCACAAAAUGAUAUUGGCUUUGGUCUGCAGAAGUCUUCAGAGGAACAAGUUAGAAGGUCAAUUCCUGACAUCUUGAGCCAAUUCUCCCAAGCAGUGCAGGUAAUUAGCAACCACCAAAGAAAUUAAGCCUUGUUGAUGCAUUAUUAUCAAGUUUGGCAAUUGGUUUGAUUACGGUUACAUUGCAGUAUGAUUGCACCAAGUUGAACAUCUAUUGGUUUAAUCAAUUUUUUAAUUUUUUUUUUCCUUUUGUAAUACUUGUCAUCUGGUUCAAUCGUGGUUUAGCCAAUAAAACCAACACUCGGAAGUAUAACAGGUACAAUCUCCAAUCCAAUUAUUAUAUAGCAAUUUGGUUUUAGAACAGAACUAAUACUUGUCAUUACUCUGUUUUAGAUUCACAACGAACGGGCAAGAGUGUUUUCGAUUCACAAUACAGGUCCUAUUGGAUGCUUACCCUAUGAUAACAUCUAUUAUCCACACAAGAAGGGGAACUUGGAUGCCAAUGGUUGUUUUAAACCUCACAACGAGCUUGCUCAGGAAUAGAACAGGCAGCUAAAAGACAAGCGUUUCAGCUAAGGAGAAAGUUUCCAUUAGCCAAAUUUACAUAUGUUGAUGUUUACACAGUAAAAUAGAAACUUAUCAGCAACGCAAGGAGCCAGGGUCUUGUGAAUCCAUUGGAAUUUUGCUGUGGAAGUUACUAUGGUUACCACAUAAAUUGCUUGUUGAGGAGGAUGAUUUCAACAAUAUCCUUUGUUUGCUUGUUCAUCAGUCAUAUAUAUUUACAACGACUGUGAUUUCCUUGAUUAAUUGGUUUAAUGGAUAUGAAGGUUAGAACGUUUUUAUCUUAAUAAUUGUUCCAUAAUUUUUUUAGCAACAUAGAAUCACACGUUUUGUUGAAUAGAUAACACUUUGUUGUCAGCAUCGUGCUUUUUUUUUCCUAUUCAUUUUUCAUCAUUGCAACAAUUCUGACGAAUGGGCUCCAAUUCUGACCGUUCUUUACAAUUUUAGUCUUGGUUUGGUUUUUCCUCUCUAUUUGUUUGAUUUUAUUUUUGUUUCAAUUGAUUUUGCCAAUUCUGUCUUUAUUCCUGAUUCGUUAUUUUUUCUAUUCUGACUUCAUGUCGCUGAAAUAUUCAUUUCAUUUUUUUGUUGAUUCAUAUUUUAGAUUUCGUUUAAAUGAGAUUUUUUCUUCUUCUUCUGUGUUCGUAUUCUUUUGCACGCACAGAUAAAUAUUUUAGACAACUAUGAGCAAAAACUUCAUGCAAGACACACGUGUAGAGCAUUCAAACUUCCGCAACGUACCAAAUCUCGUUGGUCAAGGAUACUUUAAAAGGAAAGGAAGCAGAGGGAUUUUCCACUUGCUUUAUGGCGCUCAGUUUGAUAUCAGCAGCAAACAUCUGGGAGCAGCAAACAUUCGGUUACCUGACCCUAUAGUUUCAUAUCAAAUUAUCCAUUGAUCGCACAGUUUCUAGGAUAACUUGUUUGAUUAAAAUCUUCAAAUCAUUCUUUGAGAGUUUUGGCAUAAACACAUUUGAAGCAAUGACCUUCUCAGUGGUGGUCUUCUGCCUGGACAAGAUUUUUGGACGUUAUUAUCUCUCGAUCAGAACGGAGUUAACAACAUGACAGAGACUUCAUUAUCAUUGCAUUUGGGCAGUCGUAUUUUCAACCUUUGCAGCCUAACAUACAGCACCAUUUUUUUACAUCGUCUUCUCCAUUCCAGCGCGAGCAUUGCCUUUGAAUGAUUGUUUGCACUUUGAACAAUUCUGCAAGAUCUUGGAUCUUGAUAUCAAACAGUAUUAUUUGUACACUCACUUAAGUAUUAAAAAUAGUUUCACAUUACCGUAAAUA